UCCCCGAUAGCUCAGUUGGUAGAGCAGCGGACUGUUAAUCCGCGUGUCGUUGGUUCGAGCCCAACUCGGGGAGCCA
Molecule: transfer RNA, 76 nt
Filed under: Pseudomonadota bacterium
Lineage: Bacteria; Pseudomonadati; Pseudomonadota
Description: tRNA-Asn
Rfam family: tRNA
About the family: Transfer RNA (tRNA) molecules are approximately 80 nucleotides in length. Their secondary structure includes four short double-helical elements and three loops (D, anti-codon, and T loops).
Source: RNAcentral